AGGAAUUCACAGAGCCAGAGAGACACUGAUGGAGGAUGUCCUUUCUGGAUUUGCUUGAGAACAUUUAGAAAAGUUUCCAAUGAUUGGCCCUAGAUGGAUGGCGGCAGUAAGGUUGCCAAGACGGGCCUGUACCUAGCAAAGGUAUUUGUGUAAUCAAAGCUUCUGGAACUUUCCCUGCCAAGGCUACCAAUGUGAAUAGGCUCCUGAGGUAAAAAUGUUCUCCCCGCUGGGGACGGCGCCCUUGAAGUCUACAUCAAAAUCAAGCCAGGGUCACAGCUGUUGCGGCACCCCACAGUGGAAAACUUGCAAGAAAUCCCAGCCUGAACUACUGCUUUGCCUCAGGUCUACAGGAAACAGGCCCCAGAGAAGGGGAGAGAGAGAGAGAAAGAGGAGAGAGGAGAGAGGAGAGAAGAGAGAGAGAGAGAGGGGGAGACAGAGAGAGAGAGGGAGAGAAAGAGAGAGAGAGAGAGAGAAAGAGAGAGAUAAACUUUGGGGGUGGGAAGACAAAGCCACUUGAGAACCUUGUCCUCUUCAUGGAGACAGUCCACACCCACCCCAUUCACCCUCACCUUAUGUGAGCUGGGGUUCCCGCAGGUUGGCCAAGAACCACUAGGUGGCAGCAGAUUAACUCUUCAGCUGCCAGGAUGAGCUGGGGGCAGUUAGGAGCUGAGUAUGAAAACUUUGUAUCUGUCACUUCCCUCAAAGGAAAGAAAAAAAAAUGACUUUUUCUGUACCCCAAAGAUCCUUGGCUUGCAGAUUAGGUAUUGGAGAAAAAUCUUUGAGGGGUUGAGAUUGCUUCUUGGGUCACCUGUUCUUAGGCUUGAAUUAGAGUGAAAUGCAAUUGUAUGUACUCCAUGUUGUAUAACUUGGAUGACACUUGGUUCACACUUUGUUCAAGGGACUGAAAGAUCCUUUAAGAAAUUUAUGCUCACAUUCAAAUUCCCUUCAACAAAUGCUAAAUAUAAGAAUUAAUGAGUGUAUUCCAUUUUCCAGGGACAGUGCUAAUGGUCACCUAGAUGGCCAAUACCCCUGCCCUCUGGGAGUUAAUGGGGAAGACAGGCAUUAAAAAAAAAUAGCAUUCUUGCACUUAACCACUUUGGAUGAGUCAAGGAAUCCAGACUUAAAUCUGCUAUGGAUAAAGAAGAAAAAAAUAAGUUAAAGGAAUACAGGCUUAUGAAAGUCAUUUACAUUAAGCUUCUGUUACAUGGGAAGGUAACAGGUUUUUAGGGCUUAGGUUUUUAGGGUGGCCAGUAACCUAAAAUAUGGGAGCCACCAGAAAGAAACUUUACCAGCAUGGUUUAUAUAUGCUUGCUGUUCAAAUGACAAAGAAAACAAAUCUUUCUCUUGAGUGUUCUAGCCUCUGCAAAGCAUCCCCUUGUUCUACCUAUUAAACCUCUGCCACAAAUAUAAAAAUAA
Molecule: long non-coding RNA, 1416 nt
Filed under: Homo sapiens (human)
Lineage: Eukaryota; Metazoa; Chordata; Mammalia; Primates; Hominidae
Description: novel transcript
Source: RNAcentral